UCUCCAUCACUCACUUAAUGACAAUUGUAAGUAAACGGUCUUGCGUGGACAACGAAAAACCCAGCCGACCGGUUAAAUCCUUCCAUGUAGUGUUGUCAAGUGCCAACGCAUCUCCCACGUCAGCGAAACUCGCUCCUAAACAUGGCUUUAACCUCACACGACUUCACCUCCACCAUACACGACUUAACAGGCCUCCAUUUUAUCCGAGUCGUGCAAAUUUUCUGAGUUUAUCUUCCCUACCAGCUCAGAUCAUGAAGAACCCUAGGCAUCUUCCCCAGAUUGUUUGAUCCACAACGGCACCUUAAGAACCCUAAACCCCCAGAAAUCGACGAUUCACGAGUGAUGUGAGAAAAUGUUCGGACAUUGUUCUUACUUACAAUGCCCAAUUUUCAAUCAGUAGCCCUAGCCCCCCAAAAAUCGAGUGGCGAAGAAUUAAAUAACGACUCCACCAUUAAGCUACAAUCUCGAAGGCGUGCAUAUGGGAGUUUUAGAUGAAGGUAAUGUCGCAAUGUUUGUGGGAUUAUUCGACUGAUCUAAUAUUUGCCUGGCAACUACGAGGUUGGUCUUGCCUGAAGGUCAAAUAUCAUUUUGCUUGGGAAAUAUUCUUUAUGUUAAGACUUGAAACAGCUAUCAGAAAAAAAUGUAGAUUAUGCAUUAAAGUUUGAUGAACAUGUAUAAUUAGUUUUUCUAACAUUUUUUUAGAAUAUUAAACACUACAUUUAGAUAAAAGCCAUGAUUAGUAUGGAACCUGUAUAUUAUAAUUUUUGUGUGGUCUCACUUAAAUUGAAUGGUAUGGUCCUGUAGUGAGUUGGUCCAAUUUCGAGUUCAUUACACCAUCGAUGUAAAUAUUGAAUAUCUUCAAUGUAAAUAUUUGCUUCUUCAUAGUUACUGUCCAAAUGUUAAUGCAUUCUCAUUUUAUGACAAAGUAUGUGGAUGAUCCAAAUGGAUUCUGAUAAUGAUUUCGAGUCUGAUCAAGACGAUAUGGAAUAUGAUAGAAAUAUCAUCGAUGGGAUUGAAAUGGGAUUUGCUGAUUGUGGAGAUCAAGUUUCGGUUGAUCGGGAAGAUGUGAAUGAUAUGGAGAUAGAUGAUUUGGAAAUCCAUUGUCAGAGGAACUACUAUCCCAAUGUUCAUCUGAUGAGGAUGGUGGGCAUAAAUUUCAUGAAUUUUUGUUCAAUUCGGACACGAAGGACCCACAUUUUGAUGUGGGGCAAAUUUUCUGUUUCGCUACAGAGUUCCGAGAGUCAGUUGGACCUACAAUGCAUUAAAUAAGUAUAAUGUAAAGUUCAGGCGAAUGAGCGAAGUAGGGAACAUGCCAUAUGCACACUGAGAUGUAAAUGGAGGAUUUGGGCUUCAAAGAUGGAUGUGUCGGAGAGGUUGCAAGUGAUAUCUUACACCUUGGAGCAUAGUUGUAGCCGGUCCAAUUUAAUAGACAUUGCAACUACAUACUUUUGACGAAUCGAUAUUAAACAGUUCAAAGCGGACCACAACUAGAAGAUUGAGCUCAUUUUGGCCACAGUGAAUAAGGAUUUGUGCACAGAUAUUAGUAGGAAUGUGGCAUGGAAGAUGCGGAGAUAUGCCAAAGAACCUUCGAUCGGGACUUGGCAAGAGCAGUUAUGCAGUUGCACUCUUAUGCAGUCGAGGUACUACGUACAAACGCGGACUCGACGGUCAUUAUAGCAUUAUAGGAGCAAGUUUUCUAGGGCACGUACAUCUGCUUUAAUUGUUGGAAGAUUGGUUUCAGGAAUGGUUGUAGGAAGGUGGUUGGAGUUGAUGUUCACUUAAGGAGUUGUUUCGGAGGGAUCAUGUUAACUGCAGUUGGAUUUGAUGCUUAUGACUACAUCUGUCCUAUCGCAUAUGCAGUUGUCCAAAAAGAAAAUACACCAACUUGGCUAUGGUCUUUAACCUAUCUUUCAGAAGAUAUUAGAAUUGGACAUAUUAUAGGUUGAACCUUGAUGAGGGACUGACAGAAGGGUUUACAAAAUGUGAUAGCUGAAUUGUUUCCCGAGGCCGAGCAUAGAUUCUGUGUAUGGUAUAUGUACAUGAACUUUUUCAAUACUGGGUACAAGUAAAAAAUUCUUAAGAAUCACUUAUGGCGUGCUGCCAAGUCGACCAUAAUUGCUGACUACAGACAUUGGAUGCUGCAAAUUCGUCGACUUAGUGAGGAAGGAUAAAAUUGGCUAAUGGAAAGUAAUCCAUAUGAAUGGAGGAGAUCACAUUUCUCGGUUCACUCAAAGAGCGACAUAUUACUGAAUAAUUUAUGCGAAGUGAUUAGCAAAACUUAAUGAAGUGAAAGGGAGAAUAUGAUUCUAUCAGUGCUUACCUCACUUCAAUUAACCUUCAUGACUGGGAUUCGGAAGUGUCGAAACAUGAUGAUGCAUGACGUUUGUGUCUGAAGAUUAAGAAAAAAUUAGAUAAGAUUGUUGAGAAAUCGCGUGAAUGCUUGUUGCAUUUGUCUGGGGGGCUAAAUGGCAAGUUGAUUGUAGUUUUGGGACAUAUGUUGUUGACCUACAAGAGAGAACUUGUACAUGUAGAGAGUGAGAGUUUACGGGCAUACCUUGCAUGCAUGCUGUGGCAGUUAUUAGAGAAUGUAGAAAUGAUUCGGAGGAGUUCGUUGAUAACUGCUACACGAUAAAGACAUAGAUGAGAUGUUAUAAUAGUGUCACGAACCCAAUUGACGGUAUGCGAUUAUGGCUACAGUUGGAUAUGCUUGCUAUCACUCCACCAUUGUGGAUAGUUCCGCAAAAGGGAAGGAGGCAAGUAAAUAGGAAAAAAGGGGCAGACGAAGAGGUGAUAGUACAUUCAAGGAAGAAAACCUACAUUCAGAGAAAGGGACAAUUGCAGAUUACAUGCUCAACUUGUGGGAGGAAAUCUCCCCAAUGGUUACUGAACUUUGCAGAAAAUCCCCUAGGAGAUCACUGAACUUCAAUACGUCCGUAAAUGGUCACUGCACUUUUCUGAAGUCCCCUCAAGAGGUCACCGAAUUUCAAAACGUUCCUGGAUAGUCACUGAACUUUGCCGAAAUUCCCUAGAGAGGUCACUUAACGUUGCAAAUUGGGACCCCAUACAUACCUAAUUUAGUGACCUCCUAAGAACUUUUUGUAAAGUUCAGUGACCAUCCAGGAACGUUUUGAAGUUCGAUGACCUCUUGGGGGGACUUGGAAAAGUUCAGUGACCAUUUAGAGACGUAUUGAAAUUUGGUGACCUUCUAGAGAAUUCUUUGCAAAGUUCAGUGACCAUUGGGGGGGUUUCCUCCAACUCGUGGCUUACGUGAUCACAACAAAACAAUAUCAUUUACAAAAAGAUGCCUUGUUCGAUGUUAGUAUUACCUUUUUUUUCCUUUUUUAUGCCAUGAACUGAGAUAUAUUUUAUUUUCUAAUGCUAUUUGUCUUCCCGACAGGAUUGGUUUGAAGGGGAAUAAGAAGUGGUUGGAAGUGGAUGCAACACAGUCGUGGAUGUACAAAUAAGUACAUGUCGAAUUCAAUUUUUUAUACUUCUACAUAUUGGCUGGAAAGUGUGACUAAUAUUUGAUUACGGUUUAUGCGUAAGGGUAAAAUAAAUGGUUGCACAAAAAUAUAUAGUAGAGCAUGAAUCACGGCCAGGAAGUGUUUGAGCUGGACCAACAGUAACGGUUGGUAAAUCAAACGGGUGACCAUCAAAGUUCACAUGAUAAAUGUGAACUUUGACGAUUGACGACUAGCAUGACAUAACAGAACUGGAAAUCAGGCAAAUUAGGGACGACUAGGGCUUGAGCACGUCGUAGGGUGAAAUUUGCGAAAUCAAAAGAUGCCUAACGACAUCAAUUAUCUUCUUGUUUUUUGGGCACGACAGAUAGAUAGGACUUUUUGUGCUUGGAGCAUAUGGCGGGUUAUUAUCCUUUUUGUCUUUGGUGUACACGUUUUGGGCAAUGUAGCUAAAAAUUAUCUUGUACACAAGAUGAAAUAUGCACAACGGUCUAGUGUCCAUGUUUUUUAGUACUCUAGUUGGAAAUUGUCUUGUACGCAUAUGAAAUAUGCAUAGCAGAACACUACAAUUUGUUUCAUAAUCUUUCUGCAAAACACUACAUUAUGUUUUGUUCUGUUAAGUUUGAAAUGUGUAUGUUAAUCUUUCUGAUAUUGUAUUGUUUAUAGAUUCAAAAACUUAAAGGUUGUUAAUCUGAGG
Molecule: long non-coding RNA, 4158 nt
Filed under: Olea europaea subsp. europaea
Lineage: Eukaryota; Viridiplantae; Streptophyta; Magnoliopsida; Lamiales; Oleaceae
Source: RNAcentral